GAUGAAGAACGUAGCGAAAUGCGAUAAUUAAUGUGAAUUGCAGAAUUCCGUGAAUCAUCGAGUCUUUGAACGCACAUUGCGCCUCAUGGCAUUCCGUGAGGCAUGCCCAUCUCAGCGUUAGAAAAUAUUCUCAAAUUUUAGUUUUGUGCUAAAAUUUGGAUCAUGUCAAGGAAGCUAUUACUAUUAUUGUGAUCGCUCUUUGGAAAUUGAUAGGUCUUUGAGUUGCUACUCAUAGAACGUGAUGAAUCUUUCUUCGUUCUAUUGUAAUUCACUCUGGUAGUCCUAAAACUUGUAUGCCUGUGGCAUAUCUUGUAAUUUGACCUGAGAUUGGGUAGGGAUACCCGCUGAACUUAAGCAUCUCAAUAAGCGGAGGA
This 374-nucleotide unclassified non-coding RNA is filed under the name soil metagenome. Its description in RNAcentral is "partial contains internal transcribed spacer 2 and large subunit ribosomal RNA". The stretch from base 1 to 120 matches the Rfam family "5.8S ribosomal RNA", at positions 35 to 154 of the family's 154-position model. The record is from RNAcentral.